AAAUGUUGUUCUUUAACGUGUGUGGCCAUUUCUUACUCCCCUCUCUGCAAUAGCUUUUCCCCAGUGCAAGUUCAUGACAAGGAGGACGUAUGAGCAAAUAGGAGGGAUAUCCUUCAGCUUAGUAUGAGGUGGUACUUUGCUUUUGCGCAGAUCUGUUUAGAAGAACUUAAGGAUCCUGGUAAAUGAAAAACUUAACAUGAGCCAGUGGUGUGUACUGUCAGCCCAGGCCAACAACAUUCUGGGCUGCAUCUGAAGGGGGGUGGCCAGCAAGGACAGGGAAGUUAUUGUCUCCCUCUGCUCUGCCCUUGUGAAGCCCCGUCUGGAGUACCACAUCCAGGUCUGGGACCCCAGCUCAGGAAAGCAGCUUGCUGUAUUCCAUCUUCCAUUACACUGACAGCACUCCCUGAUGACCUGCAGCUACCACUGGCUGCUGGAUACCUGCCUCAAACAGGAGAGAAAGGAUUUGUUUUGCAUCUGAAGGAACAAGGCAGUAUUUUACAUAAUCAGCGUGCUGAUUAGAACUUCAUGCUGAGCAUCUUAUCAAGGAACCUGGAUUGCAUUCACGUGGCCCCUUACAGAGAGAACAAAUUCGGUUGUAUUUUUCUCCAGGGACAUGCAUAAUGAAUAAUCUCCUGGUACAGCAGAACAGGAAACAGCUACAGUUACUCCAUGUGCUGUAAUCUGACACAACCAUUAUUUAACAAUAAGAUGAAUUCUGAUAUAUCUGCCUUGAAAUUGUGAAAGGCUGCCCAAAAAUUUUCAGAGAAAAUUCAGCUAAGAACCAUUUUAUAUAUACUACAUCAUUCCAAAGUGUUCAUUGUAGACCUCUUUUCAUUCAGGACUGCAUGAGGACUUCUUUUAACCCUUGGUUAAUCCAAUUACACACUUUUCCAGCUUGCCUUGCUGUGUACCUUGGCCUUAGAGGUAAAAGGAGGCUGCAGCCAGGGCUGAACUUAUGGUGUGGGGCUGGGCCUCCUGCAGGAGCAUCACCCACAGCCUCAGCACUGAACAAACAGCAGCUGCAGCCCCACGUGCAUUUUAUGGGAAGGAACAAUCACUGUGUGGGGAGCAACAACAGAAAGGAUGCUGCGUUAGGAGAAUAAGAGAAAGAAAAACCAUGUAUGUUCUUCAGUACUAACGACUGAGCUUCUUUCUUUCCACAUCAGCUUUCUUCUCUGGCUCGUACUCAGCCUAUGAAAAGAACAUCCAGUGAUAAAUGCAGGAGUGGGGCUGACAUAAGUGUCUGGAUCCACCUCAACAAUAACAGAAGACAGAUAGGACUGCUGGAGAACACAGUGCAGAGCUACAAAGACGAUGGGGGCCUGGAGCAUCUCCCAUAUGCAGAAAGGUUGAGAGCCUUGGGGCUGUUCUGCCUGGGGAAGAGGAAACUGAGGGGGAAUCUCAUCAAUGCUUAUACAUAUCUAAAGGGUGGGGAGUCAAACAGAUGGGGCCAGGCUCUUUACAGUGGUGCCCAGUGACAGAACAAGGGGUGAAGGGCACAAACUGGAACACAGGGAGUUCCAGAUAAGCAUAAGGAAGAAUCUCUUUACUGUGAGGAUGACAGGGCACUGGUACAGGCUGCCCAGAGGGGUGGUGCGCUCUCCUUCUCUGGAGAUACUCAAACCCACCUGGAUGCUUUCCUGCACAGCCUGCUGCAGGGAACUGCUUCAGCAGCAGGGCUGGACUAGGAGAGCUCCAGAGGUCCCUUCCAGCCUUUAUAGUUCUGUGAAGACUACAGUCUUAAGAAGCUCUUGUGCACCAAAACACAUUCAGUUUGUUAUUUGUGAGCAAGACAGCGUGACUAACGAGGCGGUAACACACAGACCUUUGGUUUCACACGGCCAUGCAAUCACAACAGUGGUUCUAGUUAACUGAUUUUAGAACUUGACAGUGGAGCCUGGUUCCUUAACGCUUGCAAGGCACAGCAGGGCUAAUUCCAGAAGUUUGUCAGUCUCUAACACAAAUAAAACUGUGAAC
RNAcentral lists this long non-coding RNA (1977 nucleotides) under Gallus gallus (chicken). RNAcentral's name for it is "lncRNA (ENSGALG00010025456.1)". Lineage: Eukaryota; Metazoa; Chordata; Aves; Galliformes; Phasianidae. The record is from RNAcentral.